Molecule: long non-coding RNA, 1789 nt
Filed under: Homo sapiens (human)
Lineage: Eukaryota; Metazoa; Chordata; Mammalia; Primates; Hominidae
Description: HSALNT0138105
Source: RNAcentral
GCGGGGUCACCUGUCUAAGCCUCAAGCCAGUCGGGCUCAGGGCCAUUUUCCCACGGAGUAAGAACCAGAACGCCAGCUGCCCCAGCGGCGCUCGCACCAUCCACCCUUGAAAUUGCCGUAGAAGAUUUGUUCCCUCAUGGCCUCAAGGUGGCUGCCGCAGUGCUAGACUAAAUCCUCACUUACAAAGCCUCAAGCUUAGAAGACAGAACAUCCCUUCCUUGUGACUCUUUUUGAAAGUGAAGAAGAAUCUGUUAGAACCUCCUGAAAAGACUUACUCUCAUGUCUCAUUAGUCUGAAUUCUGUCACAGGACAAGUCCUAAACCAAACAUUGCAAAGGAAAUGGCAGAGGGGAUUAGCUCUUCUGAAGCUAAAGAUCUGUUUGCAGUCAGAAAACAGAGACAGAAACUGAAAACCAUGGUUUCAGGCUGCUAAAAACCUAACAUGAAACAAAACAGAAGAACAACAACAACAAAAUAAGGAAGAGUGACCUAUGGGAUCCAUGGAGGAGCUGCUUCCUGAAUCUGUGUAAAGUAGAUCUUGCCGUGUGGGUAACUGUGACUGCGGUGGCCAUGAAGAGGCACAACUCAGACCUCGGAUCUCCUGCUGCAGAGAACAUUGACUGACAGCCCAGCAGCUCCUGUCUGGAUCUACCACCUGUUCACAGUGAGGCCAACAUCCCCCAGGCUGCUCCCAGCCCAGGGCUGAGCAUGGCAUGGUCCUAAUGCUCUUAAAGACCUCUAGAUCUCUCUAGAGAUGUAGGACUCUUCCAACAGGCAACUUUGGCUCAGGGCUCCCCAUCAGCUGGCCUAACCUUUCUAGGAACUGUGCUGUGGCUAACGGUCUCCCAGCCCAUCCCUGCCCUUUUCUCUCUCCUUCACAGGGGCCAGACCUGCAUUUCCACCUGCAGGAUCUCCUUGCCUGCUCCUGCUCCCUCCCCUUUCCUUAACAUGGGCUCCCCAGUAAAUCAUUUACAUGUUUAAUCCUGACUCUGCAUCUGCUUCUCCAAGGACCCAAACUAACUCAUGUACAGUAGAAAAUGAUUGACUUUUGACUUGGUCCUGGAUUCAUAUCUUGUCUCUGUCGCUUAUUAACAACAUAAACUUCCAUCACUCAACCCCUCCUUAUUUUCCUCAUCAAUUAAAAUAUUUCUUACUCCUAAAGUUAUGGUGAAUAUUGGAAGAGUUAAUUUUUGAAGAGCACCUGUGAUGUGCCUCCUAGAACAGGGACAGUUUGUUCCUUUCUCAUCAUUAUCCUUUAGCAGUGAUGGAAUGGGACUCUAUGCUGGUGAGUUUUGAUAAGAGAUUGCAAGGAAGUGAGAGAGGAAGAAUAUCAGCUGCAGCACAUGACAAGUCUGCCUCCUGGGUCAGGUUCCCCUGACAGCGUUGGUGCCUGGGGCAUAAAGAUGCUGGGUGCCAGGGAAGGGAAGGAUGGGGCACUGGAGGGAGACCAAAUUCAAUCAUUUUAAGUCCAGUCCCCAGUUCUGUGCAAUUCUUAGUGUAAAGUUUUUAAAAAGAACAUUAAAGACAGUUACAAAGCCGAGAAAUGGUCCUGUCUCUCUGAGCAGCGCUGGCCAUGCUUAACCCACCACCCCCGUCACCCGCACCCACCCCUGUCUCAGGGCCCUUCAGUGUCACACACAAAGGGGCCUCACCUCUGAUUCACAUUCUGAGGAGAGCAAGUUCAUGGAUCAAAGAACAUGACUAAUGGCCGUGGAACUUUCUGAAGAGCCCGGAACAUUUAAUUAUUAUGAACAAUUUAGUUCACUUCAAGUGGUUUACCUAAGCUCCAC